RNAcentral lists this ribosomal RNA (1031 nucleotides) under Penicillium polonicum. RNAcentral's name for it is "SSU rRNA". It matches the Rfam family "Eukaryotic small subunit ribosomal RNA", at positions 71 to 1109 of the family's 1831-position model. Lineage: Eukaryota; Fungi; Ascomycota; Eurotiomycetes; Eurotiales; Aspergillaceae. The record is from RNAcentral.
AACUUGUACUGUGAAACUGCGAAUGGCUCAUUAAAUCAGUUAUCGUUUAUUUGAUAGUACCUUACUACAUGGAUACCUGUGGUAAUUCUAGAGCUAAUACAUGCUAAAAACCCCGACUUCAGGAAGGGGUGUAUUUAUUAGAUAAAAAACCAACGCCCUUCGGGGCUCCUUGGUGAAUCAUAAUAACUUAACGAAUCGCAUGGCCUUGCGCCGGCGAUGGUUCAUUCAAAUUUCUGCCCUAUCAACUUUCGAUGGUAGGAUAGUGGCCUACCAUGGUGGCAACGGGUAACGGGGAAUUAGGGUUCGAUUCCGGAGAGGGAGCCUGAGAAACGGCUACCACAUCCAAGGAAGGCAGCAGGCGCGCAAAUUACCCAAUCCCGAUACGGGGAGGUAGUGACAAUAAAUACUGAUACGGGGCUCUUUUGGGUCUCGUAAUUGGAAUGAGAACGAUUUAAAUCCCUUAACGAGGAACAAUUGGAGGGCAAGUCUGGUGCCAGCAGCCGCGGUAAUUCCAGCUCCAAUAGCGUAUAUUAAAGUUGUUGCAGUUAAAAAGCUCGUAGUUGAACCUUGGGCCUGGCUGGCCGGUCCGCCUCACCGCGAGUACUGGUCCGGCUGGGCCUUUCCUUCUGGGGAACCUCAUGGCCUUCACUGGCUGUGGGGGGAACCAGGACUUUUACUGUGAAAAAAUUAGAGUGUUCAAAGCAGGCCUUUGCUCGAAUACAUUAGCAUGGAAUAAUAGAAUAGGACGUGUGGUUCUAUUUUGUUGGUUUCUAGGAACCCGCCGUAAUGAUUAAUAGGGAUAGUCGGGGGCGUCAGUAUUCAGCUGUCAGAGGUGAAAUUCUUGGAUUUGCUGAAGACUAACUACUGCGAAAGCAUUCGCCAAGGAUGUUUUCAUUAAUCAGGGAACGAAAGUUAGGGGAUCGAAGACGAUCAGAUACCGUCGUAGUCUUAACCAUAAACUAUGCCGACUAGGGAUCGGACGGGAUUCUAUAAUGACCCGUUCGGCACCUUACGAGAAAUCAAAGUUUUUG